RNAcentral lists this ribosomal RNA (414 nucleotides) under Snodgrassella alvi. RNAcentral describes it as "bacterial SSU rRNA". It matches the Rfam family "Bacterial small subunit ribosomal RNA", at positions 1 to 408 of the family's 1533-position model. The record is from RNAcentral. Lineage: Bacteria; Pseudomonadati; Pseudomonadota; Betaproteobacteria; Neisseriales; Neisseriaceae.
AGAUUAAACAUAAGAGUUUGAUCCUGGCUCAGAUUGAACGCUGGCGGCAUGCUUUACACAUGCAAGUCGAACGGCAGCACGGAGAGCUUGCUCUCUGGUGGCGAGUGGCGAACGGGUGAGUAAUGCAUCGGAACGUACCGAGUAAUGGGGGAUAACUGUCCGAAAGGAUGGCUAAUACCGCAUACGCCCUGAGGGGGAAAGCGGGGGAUCUUAGGACCUCGCGUUAUUUGAGCGGCCGAUGUUGGAUUAGCUAGUUGGUGGGGUAAAGGCCUACCAAGGCGACGAUCCAUAGCGGGUCUGAGAGGAUGAUCCGCCACAUUGGGACUGAGACACGGCCCAAACUCCUACGGGAGGCAGCAGUGGGGAAUUUUGGACAAUGGGGGGAACCCUGAUCCAGCCAUGCCGCGUGUCUGA